GCAUGCGCCAAUUUUCCCCCAAGGAGGGAAGCUAAAUUAAAGUGUGUUUGGCUUUUCGUUUUCUUGGGGACGAGACUUUGAGCCACUCACAGGCCACUUCUGUUUGGUAUGAUGGCAAGAACAUAUAUUAGGAGCCAGUAAACGUGGUCCUGGCUUUGUGGCCAUAGGUGCUUGACUUAAGCUUUGACUGCAGAGGCAUCCACUGCAAAGAAACAUCCUCUUCAGUGAUGACUAUUUCAAAGAAACACAUUGCCAGCCACAGGACUAGAUGAAGACCCAGCCUUCCUUCUUCUCUAAUACAAACUUUAAAUGUAUAAAAUGCCAAAAGGACCACUUCUCUGCAUCCCACAGGUUUUGUAAUAGAAGAAAAUUCUAAAAUUCAUAUGGAAGCACAGAAGACCACAUGUAACCAAAUCAAUCUUGAGAAAGAACAACAAAACUGGAGGCUUGGGGCACCUGGGUGGCUCAGUAGGUUAAGCAUCUGCCCUCGGCUCAGGCCAUGAUCCCAGGGUCCUGGGAUGGAGCCCCACGUUGGG
This is a long non-coding RNA of Zalophus californianus (California sea lion), 536 nucleotides long. RefSeq lists it as uncharacterized. Lineage: Eukaryota; Metazoa; Chordata; Mammalia; Carnivora; Otariidae. The record is from RefSeq and is a predicted model, not a curated record. The transcript has 4 exons.